RNAcentral lists this ribosomal RNA (312 nucleotides) under Triticum aestivum (bread wheat). RNAcentral describes it as "partial small subunit ribosomal RNA". The record is from RNAcentral. Lineage: Eukaryota; Viridiplantae; Streptophyta; Magnoliopsida; Poales; Poaceae.
AUGUGCGCAGGCAUGAUAGAUCUGAAGAAGGAAAUGACAAGGAUCACGAAGCUGGGGGAAGAACUCAAGGCUACUCGCGAAGAUUAUGAGGAGGAAAUCGUCGUACUAGUGGAGAAGAAUGAUGACCUGACAAGAAAGCUGGGAGUAUUCAUGGGAGACCCCGUGCGAGGAGGAGAAGAUGACGAUUCCACCUACCCGGAGAACUACAUCAUCAUCGAUGACACCGACUCGGACCCCGAUGAUAGCGAUGAUGACUUUGUUGAUGAAGCUGGAGCAGAUGUUAUGGAGUCUUCUACCGAUCAAUUUUUCUAG